This 473-nucleotide ribosomal RNA is filed under the name uncultured Magnetococcus sp. RNAcentral describes it as "bacterial SSU rRNA". It matches the Rfam family "Bacterial small subunit ribosomal RNA", at positions 79 to 587 of the family's 1533-position model. Lineage: Bacteria; Pseudomonadati; Pseudomonadota; Magnetococcia; Magnetococcales; Magnetococcaceae. The record is from RNAcentral.
UUCGGGACGCCGGCGAGUGGCGAACGGGUGAGUAACACGUGGAGACCUGCCCUGAGGUGGGGGAUAACAGCUAGAAAUGGCUGCUAAUACCGCAUACGCCUUACGAGGGAAAGAUUUAUUGCCUCAGGAGGGUUCCGCGUCGGAUUAGCUUGUUGGUGGGGUAACGGCCUACCAAGGCGACGAUCCGUAGCUGGUCUUAGAGGAUGAUCAGCCACACUGGGACUGAGACACGGCCCAGACUCCUACGGGAGGCAGCAGUGGGGAAUAUUGCGCAAUGGAGGCAACUCUGACGCAGCGAUGCCGCGUGGGUGAAUAAGGCCUUAGGGUUGUAAAGCCCUUUCAGUGGGAAAGAUGAUGACGGUACCCACAGAAGAAGCCCCGGCUAACUCCGUGCCAGCAGCCGCGGUAAUACGGAGGGGGCGAGCGUUGUUCGGAAUUAUUGGGCGUAAAGAGCGCGUAGGCGGUUUAUUAAG